RNAcentral lists this ribosomal RNA (591 nucleotides) under uncultured bacterium. Its description in RNAcentral is "partial 16S ribosomal RNA". It matches the Rfam family "Bacterial small subunit ribosomal RNA", at positions 355 to 1375 of the family's 1533-position model. The record is from RNAcentral.
UGGGGAAUUUUGGACAAUGGGCGAAAGCCUGAUCCAGCAAUGCCGCGUGUGUGAAGAAGGCCUUCGGGUUGUAAAGCACUUUUGUCCGGAAAGAAAUCCUUGGCUCUAAUACAGUCGGGGGAUGACGGUACCGGGAGAAUAAGCACCGGCUAACUACGUGCCAGCAGCCGCGGUAAUACGUAGGGUGCAAGCGUUAAUCGGAAUUACUGGGCGUAAAGCGUGCGCAGGCGGUUUGCUAAGACCGAUGUGAAAUCCCCGGGCUCAACCUGGGAACUGCAUUGGUGACUGGCAGGCUAGAGUAUGGCAGAGGGGGGUUAGAAUUCCACGUGUAGCAGUGAAAUGCGUAGAGAUGUGGAGGAAUACCGAUGGCGAAGGCAGCCCCCCUGGGGCCAAUACUGACGCUCAUGCACGAAAGCGUGGGGAGCAAAACAGGAUUAGAUACCCUGGUAGUCCACGCCCUAAACGAUGUCAACUAGUUGUUGGGGGAUUCAUUUUCCUUAGUAACGUAGCUAACGCGUGAAGUUGACCGCCUGGGGAGUACGGUCGCAAGAUUAAAACUCAAAGGAAUUGACGGGGUCAUAGCUGUUUCCU